GACGAACGCUGGCGGCGUGCUUAACACAUCCAAGCCGAACGGAAAGGCCCUGCUUUUGUGGGGUGCUCGAGUGGCGAACGGGUGAGUAACACGUGAGUAACCUGCCCUUGACUUUGGGAUAACUUCAGGAAACUGGGGCUAAUACCGGAUAGGAGCUCCUGCUGCAUGGUGGGGGUUGGAAAGUUUCGGCGGUCGGGGAUGGACUCGCGGCUUAUCAGCUUGUUGGUGGGGUAGUGGCUUACCAAGGCUUUGACGGGUAGCCGGCCUGAGAGGGUGACCGGCCACAUUGGGACUGAGAUACGGCCCAGACUCCUACGGGAGGCAGCAGUGGGGAAUAUUGCACAAUGGGCGGAAGCCUGAUGCAGCAACGCCGCGUGCGGGAUGACGGCCUUCGGGUUGUAAACCGCUUUCGCCUGUGACGAAGCGUGAGUGACGGUAAUGGGUAAAGAAGCACCGGCUAACUACGUG
This 468-nucleotide ribosomal RNA is filed under the name uncultured bacterium. Its description in RNAcentral is "partial 16S ribosomal RNA". It matches the Rfam family "Bacterial small subunit ribosomal RNA", at positions 28 to 507 of the family's 1533-position model. The record is from RNAcentral.